GCAACAUUCAACAUCAGGAGUGCCUCUUCUGUUGAGUAAUUGGAUCCUAGAUCUGGAUCUACCAAUUCUAGGAGAGUUCCUCUCUCAUGUAGAACACAAGCCUGAAACACAUUUAAGAGUCGCGAUUAGCUUACAACUCAAGUUUUGCAGAAACUAGGUCCUGUUUCGUCUAUUGCUUGAGAGGUAAAAUCAUAACAUUGAAUGCUGUGUGGGAUGGUAAGAAUCUCAUUUUUCUUUUAGAAUUUUAACGUAUGGGGGGAAUUCAUGUAUGGCCAGUGGAAGUUUGGUUAGUAUGGAAAAAAAGAUGGGAUGCAGGAAUCAGGAUUGAACUGAUGUUCCUGUUUAAGUAAUAUGACUUUUUUUAAAUGCGCUCACAUAUUAAACAUCCUAGGGUUAAAUGAAAACUGAUCAUGUCCCAACACUUUGGGCAUCUAAUAUUUAUAACACUAAUGAUUGUCUGAGAGUCCAUAAUUGCUUUGGAUGUAAGGUGAUCACAUAGCAAGUCCCCAUCCAAAAUGGCCCAAAAGGCUCUUUAUGAAUGGAUGAAGGUUCAAGAGUUACCCAAUCUAGAAGAUAAACAAAGUCUUCCUUUGGCCUGUAGUUUGUGUUACUUUUCCCACUGACAACUUCCAAAGCAACAACACCAAAACUGUAUACAUCAGCUUUAUCUGUUAAAUAACCACGCAUAGCAUACUCAGGAGCCAUGUAUCCGCUGCAUGAAUACAGAACAAUCAAGUCAGCUGUAGAAUGCAGUCCAACAGACUUAUAAAUGCACAGAAAAGUGUUAUUCACAUAAGAACUGAUUACUAACAUUAAGUGUCUUAAUUCAAGGGAACUGUCAAUAUGCUGCUAGUUGCAUUUUUUUUUCAUUUAUUUAUGUUUAUAUGCAGCAAUGACACCUCCCAUAUACCUGUAGUUUUUCUAUAUCUUAGCUGAUGAUGUUAUAUUUCUUUGUUUCUCCAGCGGGUAGGCUCAAUGUUUGUUCAUUAGGUUUUCAAUAUUCUUCAUUAGGUUAAAUGUUGCAAUGCUCACUGUUACCUUUCCUUAUAACUACCUUCCCUUCAAAGCUUCUUAUCUAUAGCCUUGUGGUCAAUCAGAUGCAUGGAUCUAAUUCUAAGAAGAACAAGAGUAUGGAAGAAAAACUCUUACAUUGUUCCAGCUACUUUUGUGCUUAUGUGGGUGUGAUCGUCUUCAUUAAGCUUUGCUAGCCCAAAAUCUGAAAUCUUAGCAUUCAAAUCUUUGUCAAGUAGUAUAUUGCUGGCCUUGAUAUCUCGGUGUACAAUCCUUAUUGUAGAUUCCUCAUGCAGAUAUGCUAGACCUCUUGCUAUCCCAAGGCAAAUCUUGUAUCUUGUUGGCCAAUCCAGUCUCAGUCUAUAUUUUUCAACUGGACCCAGUAUUAACAGUCCAUAGAAAGAGUCUGUGAGUUCUAACAUGUAGCAUAAGUGUAAACAGGAUAAAUG
Molecule: long non-coding RNA, 1460 nt
Organism: Panicum virgatum (switchgrass)
Lineage: Eukaryota; Viridiplantae; Streptophyta; Magnoliopsida; Poales; Poaceae
Exons: 2
Source: RefSeq, a predicted model, not a curated record